Molecule: long non-coding RNA, 3249 nt
Filed under: Homo sapiens (human)
Lineage: Eukaryota; Metazoa; Chordata; Mammalia; Primates; Hominidae
Description: HSALNT0112436
Source: RNAcentral
UAUUAUUUCCAGAAGGAUCUGUGUGUUUUAAUUCUGAAUACCAUUAAAAAUAGAAAACAGAUAUUUUAUACCAUUUUUCCUGUUUACAGCAGCAUUUAUGUCCAAAAGUUUGUCCUUCUUGAAUCUUAUAUUCAUUGUCUUUAAUGAUGCAGAAUGUUUUCCUUUUUGGCUGUACAUGUACUCUGUUUUUCAUUUUUGAGCAUGUGGAAAUCUAAGACUGUCUUCACCAUAAAGAGAAGGUGCCUUUUUUUCAUUCCUUUUACUAUCUGUGCUGGAAUUUUCCUCUACUCUUAACCACUUGAAGUACUAAUUGAUGUGUAAAGUGUCUAACCCCAUUUCUGGAAUACAGCUUCUUGUGUAUACUAAGUAAGCCUCUUUGUAUGAUAUGGCACCUCCUUAACUUCUCCCUGGUAUGAAUAGAUUGUUUUUUCCAUAAGAGUUUUAAGCAGUCUGAAUUUGCUAUUUUAUGUUUUAUAAUGUGCUUACUAGAAGGAACAGUAAAAUUACCACCCCUAACUACACUAUUCAACUCCUGUAACUUUUACCAUUUGACUUGAGUCUUCAUCCACAUGAAAGGACUGAGAAUUGCAGUCCUAAAAAAGUUAAUGAAAAGAAUGGGGGUAUGAACUUGCUCUAGCUAUGCUAGAAAUCACUUUUACACAGUCUCUGCUCUCCCCUCAGGCAGUCAGUGGUCCAGGCCUGUGAUUUCUGCUUCCUGUAAGCACUUAAUUGGAUUCUUCUCAGAAAGAUGUCCAGAAAUUGCUGGCAAAAAUCUAUGUCUGCUCUCUCUCAAUACCAAUGCACCUACAUGUGGCUGUCUCCAGGUAAUAACAAUGCAUCUUUGCCUUCUACUCUCCGAAUAAUUUGCAAAUAUCCCUCUUUGUCAAAAUACAACUGAGGUUCCACUGGCAAGGGGAUUUAUAAAUUGCAGUUUUCAGGUUUUGUGCCCCCUUCCACAUUGUUGGAGAGACCUCAAGAAACCUACAAUCAUGGCAGAAGGCAAAAGAGAAACAGGCACCUUCUUCACAGGGCAGCAGGACAGAGUGAAUACAAGCAGGGGAAAUGCCACAUGCUUAUAAAACCAUCCUAUCUCAUGAGACUCACUCACUAUCACGAGAACAGCCCAGGGGAAACUACCCCCAAGAUUCAAUUACCUCCACCUGGUCCCACCCUUGACAUGUGGGGAUUAUGGGGAUUACAAUUCAAGAUGAGAUUUUGGGUGGGGACACAGCCAAACAUAUCACUCCUGUUUCUGAAAUGAGGCAUAAGACUAUAGUUGGCAUUUAUAAUAUCCUUCCUCUAAUAAACAUUUCUUCUUCCCUUUGCCCUUAGCUAGAAACUAAGCUGGUUGUGGUGGUUUAUCUUGAUAAGGUAACUCAAAAUUCAUUUGUAAAAUAUCUGAUCAACUAGAAGUCUUUCUUCUACAUCACACUGAAGAAAUUCUGGUAUAUCAGCUUACUUUAAUAAUGUACCACUGGCAAUACAUUAACCAACCAAGCAAAUUGUGAAUGCUAUUCUCAGCUGCUCAAGCAUAUCUAUUACAUUCUGACUCUCUAGGAAAUGUUCUUUCUCAUAACUAAUAAAUUUGUAAAGGAAUUUCUUUUACCUUGAUCUAAUACCUUUAAAAUCCGUCUCUUCCCAAGGUUUAUGUAAAUAGAUAUUGAAAAAUCUUUCAAUUUAUGCACCUCCUCCUGGGACAUACUUAAACUUGCCCUCUUGAGUUGGCUAGAAUUUGACUCUAUAGUUAAAAGGAAUUAGCUUCCUUAUGAGGCAGUUCACUCAGAUGAGAUAAUUAUAGGGUCCUCAGAAGGUGAAGUCAGUGAAAGAAAGCAUACUUAUUAUGUCAGGGCAGUCUCAGUAAGAUUUUAGACUGUAAAGUGUUCAUAUUAAUGAGAAUCUGAUCAACUGUUUUAAUUUCAACACUGAGGGAACCAUUCUUUCUUAAUUAAUGUCUCAACAUUAAUGAUACAUGCUUAAUGAGGCUGUGAAUUUAGCCUACGUUGUAAUUCAGCAACUCACAGGAUCAACUUUUGUGUCUGGUUUUCAGAAACACUUGCCUGCUACUACAUGAGGAAAGUGAUUAUUUCAGGGCAGUCUUAGGAACUCUCUGGUUGUCAGGCCAUACCUUCACCUGAGAACUUCAGCUCUAGACUUAAAUUUCUUCUACAAACUUUCCAUUACAGUGUGACUCAGCAAUCCUGUAUCUACAAUCCUUAUUUUCAUUAUUUCCAUCAUAAUGUUCUAUUGCAGCAGUCUUUCAACACCAUUUUAAUUACCAGUUUAUAUCAAACAAUGGCCAGUCUAAAUUUAAACUUUUGUUUUUGCCACCACAUACCAAUGUUUCACAUCUACUGAUAAUGAGGUCAUUGCUACUUUCAAAUAUAACUAGGUCAGAUAACUAGCCCCAGAUUCUUAUAUCUAUAGUUGUUUCUUUCAAAUAAUUUCUGGUAGCAAGUGUUGAUUGGGUUGGGUUCAGUUUUGAAACUAAAGUCAUUUUAGUUAUAUAGAAUGAAAUGAUGUUUAGUACAGGGUGUAAGAAGCUUCUAGACAGUUUGUAGCCUGGGAAGCAAAUGUGAGGAAGACCAUUUAAAAAAAAUUUGGUUGUUUUUAGGUAAUAGAAAAAUUGUCAGCAAUGGUCAUAGCUUCCAUCAACAAUGAAGCUAUUACUUCUCAAGAGACACCCAAAACCUUCAAAAGAAAGAAAGAAAAAAAAGAACACUAUCCAUUUCUGUUUAUUGCUGCCAAUUUUUUUUUUUGGUCUUCUAUCUUCCACAAAUAGUCCUAGUGCUUCUCCUGGUGAAAUAUAUCGGGACUCUAGUCACAGGAGAGUCUAGGAAAGUGUAGCUUCAAGCUUUUACAUUCUUGUGAGCCAAAGAUGAUCUAUGAAAGAUGAAGAUAGUACUGAGUAUUAACAAGCAAUAUGCAGAGUAUCAGAAAUGUUCUGUUUUUCCUUGUACCUAUAAAAAUAACAUAGAAGACAUCAUUAUUGAUAGAACAUUGAAAGCCUUAGCUCUAAGUUCAACAACAACAAAAAGAUGCAAGCAAUCAUCAUGCCCAUUCAUCAUUUUACUAAGUUCUAGCUAGAAAACAAAGCAAGAAAAAAUAUCAAUUUUUUGCCUACAAAAAAGGAAAGGAAGAAACUUAUGCAUGCUUUAAUAGACUAUAUGUGUCUGUAAAUAAUACAAAAUAAUUUAUAGUUAAAUGCUUAAAAUUCUUUUAGUGCUUAGCAAGGUAGAGGAUACAAAACAA